RNAcentral lists this ribosomal RNA (1484 nucleotides) under uncultured bacterium. RNAcentral describes it as "bacterial SSU rRNA". It matches the Rfam family "Bacterial small subunit ribosomal RNA". The record is from RNAcentral.
GCUUAGAGUUUGAUCCUGGCUCAGAACGAACGCUGGCGGCAGGCUUAACACAUGCAAGUCGAGCGCCCCGCAAGGGGAGCGGCAGACGGGUGAGUAACGCGUGGGAACAUACCCUUUGGUUCGGAAUAACUCAGGGAAACUUGAGCUAAUACCGGAUACGUCCGUAAGGAGAAAGAUUUAUCGCCAAAGGAUUGGCCCGCGUCCGAUUAGCUAGUUGGUGAGGUAACGGCUCACCAAGGCUACGAUCGGUAGCUGGUCUGAGAGGAUGAUCAGCCACAUUGGGACUGAGACACGGCCCAAACUCCUACGGGAGGCAGCAGUGGGGAAUAUUGGACAAUGGGCGCAAGCCUGAUCCAGCCAUACCGCGUGAGUGAAGAAGGCCUUCGGGUUGUAAAGCUCUUUCGGCAGGAAAGAAAUCGUGCAGGCUAAUAUCCUGUAUGGAUGACGGUACCUGAAGAAGAAGCACCGGCUAACUACGUGCCAGCAGCCGCGGUAAUACGUAGGGUGCGAGCGUUAAUCGGAAUUACUGGGCGUAAAGCGUGCGCAGGCGGUUCCGUAAGACAGAUGUGAAAUCCCCGGGCUUAACCUGGGAACUGCAUUUGUGACUGCGAGACUAGAGUGUAGCAGAGGGGGGUAGAAUUCCACGUGUAGCAGUGAAAUGCGUAGAUAUGUGGAGGAAUACCGAUGGCGAAGGCAGCCCCCUGGGCUAACACUGACGCUCAUGCACGAAAGCGUGGGGAGCAAACAGGAUUAGAUACCCUGGUAGUCCACGCCCUUAACGAUGUCAACUAGGUGGUGGGGGAAGGAGACUUCUUUAGUACCGCAGCUAACGCGCUAAGUUGACCGCCUGGGGGAGUACGGUCGCAAGAUUAAAACUCAAAGGAAUUGACGGGGACCCGCACAAGCGGUGGAUUAUGUGGAUUAAUUCGAUGCAACGCGAAAAACCUUACCUACCCUUGACAUGCCAGGAAGAUUUCAGAGAUGAGAUUGUGCCCGAAAGGGAACCUGGACACAGGUGCUGCAUGGCUGUCGUCAGCUCGUGUCGUGAGAUGUUGGGUUAAGUCCCGCAACGAGCGCAACCCUUGUCAUUAAUUGCCAUCAUUCAGUUGGGCACUUUAAUGAGACUGCCGGUGAUAAACCGGAGGAAGGUGGGGAUGACGUCAAGUCCUCAUGGCCCUUAUGGGUAGGGCUUCACACGUAAUACAAUGGUCGGUACAGAGGGUUGCCAACCCGCGAGGGGGAGCCAAUCCCAGAAAGCCGAUCGUAGUCCGGAUUGUAGUCUGCAACUCGACUACAUGAAGUCGGAAUCGCUAGUAAUCGCGGAUCAGCAUGUCGCGGUGAAUACGUUCCCGGGUCUUGUACACACCGCCCGUCACACCAUGGGAGUGGAAUCUGGCAGAAGUAGGUAGCCUAACCGCAAGGAGGGCGCUUACCACGCUGGGUUUCAUGACUGGGGUGAAGUCGUAACAAGGUAACCGUAAAGC